AACGAACGCUGGCGGCAUGCCUAACACAUGCAAGUCGAACGAGACCUUCGGGUCUAGUGGCGCACGGGUGCGUAACGCGUGGGAACCUGCCCUUAGGUUCGGAAUAACUCCCCGAAAGGGGUGCUAAUACCGGAUAAUGUCUUCGGACCAAAGAUUUAUCGCCUUUGGAUGGGCCCGCGUUGGAUUAGCUAGUUGGUAGGGUAAAAGCCUACCAAGGCGACGAUCCAUAGCUGGUCUGAGAGGAUGAUCAGCCACACUGGGACUGAGACACGGCCCAGACUCCUACGGGAGGCAGCAGUGGGGAAUAUUGGACAAUGGGCGAAAGCCUGAUCCAGCAAUGCCGCGUGAGUGAUGAAGGCCUUAGGGUUGUAAAGCUCUUUUACCCGGGAUGAUAAGGACAGGACCGGGAGAAUAAGCUCCGGCGAACUCCGU
This 432-nucleotide ribosomal RNA is filed under the name uncultured bacterium. RNAcentral describes it as "partial 16S ribosomal RNA". It matches the Rfam family "Bacterial small subunit ribosomal RNA", at positions 29 to 506 of the family's 1533-position model. The record is from RNAcentral.